Molecule: ribosomal RNA, 465 nt
Filed under: uncultured bacterium
Lineage: Bacteria
Description: partial 16S ribosomal RNA
Rfam family: Bacterial small subunit ribosomal RNA
Source: RNAcentral
CCUACGGGAGGCAGCAGUGGGGAAUAUUGCGCAAUGGGCGAAAGCCUGACGCAGCGACGCCGCGUGAGGGAUGAAGGUCUUCGGAUCGUAAACCUCUGUCAGCAGGGAAGAACGGUCACUUUGCUAAUCAGCAGUGAAUUGACGGUACCUGCAAAGGAAGCACGGGCUAACGACGGGCCAGCAGCCGCGGUAAUACGGAGGGUGCAAGCGUUAAUCGGAAUUACUGGGCGUAAAGCGCUCGUAGGCGGUAUGGCAAGUCAAGGGUGAAAUCCACGCGCUCAACGUCGGAACUGCCUUUGAAACUGGAAAGCUGGAGUGUGGGAGAGGAUGGUGGAAUUCCAGGUGUAGGAGUGAAAUCCGUAGAUAUCUGGAGGAACAUCAGUGGCGAAGGCGACUAUCUGGCACAUAACUGACGCUGAGGAGCGAAAGCGUGGGUAGCAAACAGGAUUAGAUACCCCUGUAGUC